Pyrus x bretschneideri (Chinese white pear) is the source of this 879-nucleotide long non-coding RNA. RefSeq lists it as uncharacterized. The transcript is spliced from 5 exons. The record is from RefSeq and is a predicted model, not a curated record. Lineage: Eukaryota; Viridiplantae; Streptophyta; Magnoliopsida; Rosales; Rosaceae.
UUUUUAAAGAAGCAUUAAACUUAAAAACUUGAUUCUCUCUCCCUUUCACAAAUGUCCAACUCCUCCAUUUUCUCUGCUCUCUUCCCCUUCAUUCUCCCGUAUCCUCUCCCCUCUUCUCUUUCACGCAACGACACCGCCAUCCUUUGGUCACCAACGACCGUCAAAUUAUACCUCCAGAAUCCUCUUCCCGUCCUUUUUCCAACCCCCAAGUUAGUUUCUACAAAUUCGUAGCCGAAUUUCCUCAAUUUUAGAUCUAAGAAACAGUGACCUUGGGUUUUCUAGCCAAUUUCCAGCCAAGUCUGCCGGAAUCGGACCUCAACCUAAGAGAUUGGGAACAAGGAAGGAUGAAUUAAGGUUGUUUCCAACCUGGACCGACAAGAAUGGAAGGUUGUGUGGGUAAUCCCUUUGCCUUAGAAGAUUUCUUUGGUCCAUCCGAAGAAAAGAUUCCAUGGUCACAUGGGGUACUCAGCAAGGUUCUACUUUUGCAAAGGAGAUGGAGAUGUUACAGACUUACAGUGAUACUGCAAUCCUAAUAAUCUGUCUUAACUUACCAAUCGAAUCCAUCUCCCUUGACUAGCUAGAGUAUAUUGAUUGGGAACUCUAUCCGUUCCCAGCGCCUAGUUUCCAAAGACGAAGUUGAGACAGAUAGAGAUAGCAAUUAGUGUGGUUCAAGCAUUAGGAGCAGUAUUUCACUCUCAAAGGACUUCGUUUGGAGGUGUUCAAGGAAAAGUGAAGUCUUUCAAGUGACAAAUUUCUUUGUUAUUAGAGGCCUAUUUUGUAUGUCAUGUGUAGUUUGAUUAGCUUUAUUCAACUUGUAAUACAUUUUGACAAUAUGAUUAUUUAUGAAAUCUUGUAUUAUAGUAAAUGUGUAAUUUUGUU